GGUUAAGCGACUAAGCGUACACGGUGGAUGCCCUGGCAGUCAGAGGCGAUGAAGGACGUGCUAAUCUGCGAUAAGCGUCGGUAAGGUGAUAUGAACCGUUAUAACCGGCGAUUUCCGAAUGGGGAAACCCAGUGUGUUUCGACACACUAUCAUUAACUGAAUCCAUAGGUUAAUGAGGCGAACCGGGGGAACUGAAACAUCUAAGUACCCCGAGGAAAAGAAAUCAACUGAGAUUCCCCCAGUAGCGGCGAGCGAACGGGGAGGAGCCCAGAGCCUGAAUCAGUGUGUGUGUUAGUGGAAGCGUCUGGAAAGGCGCGCGAUACAGGGUGACAGCCCCGUACACAAAAAUGCACAUAUUGUGAGCUCGAUGAGUAGGGCGGGACACGUGGUAUCCUGUCUGAAUAUGGGGGGACCAUCCUCCAAGGCUAAAUACUCCUGACUGACCGAUAGUGAACCAGUACCGUGAGGGAAAGGCGAAAAGAACCCCGGCGAGGGGAGUGAAAAAGAACCUGAAACCGUGUACGUACAAGCAGUGGGAGCACAGAGCAAUCUGUGUGACUGCGUACCUUUUGUAUAAUGGGUCAGCGACUUAUAUUCUGUAGCAAGGUUAACCGAAUAGGGGAGCCGAAGGGAAACCGAGUCUUAACUGGGCGUUAAGUUGCAGGGUAUAGACCCGAAACCCGGUGAUCUAGCCAUGGGCAGGUUGAAGGUUGGGUAACACUAACUGGAGGACCGAACCGACUAAUGUUGAAAAAUUAGCGGAUGACUUGUGGCUGGGGGUGAAAGGCCAAUCAAACCGGGAGAUAGCUGGUUCUCCCCGAAAGCUAUUUAGGUAGCGCCUCGUGAACUCAUCUCCGGGGGUAGAGCACUGUUUCGGCAAGGGGGUCAUCCCGACUUACCAACCCGAUGCAAACUGCGAAUACCGGAGAAUGUUAUCACGGGAGACACACGGCGGGUGCUAACGUCCGUCGUGAAGAGGGAAACAACCCAGACCGCCAGCUAAGGUCCCAAAGUCAUGGUUAAGUGGGAAACGAUGUGGGAAGGCCCAGACAGCCAGGAUGUUGGCUUAGAAGCAGCCAUCAUUUAAAGAAAGCGUAAUAGCUCACUGGUCGAGUCGGCCUGCGCGGAAGAUGUAACGGGGCUAAACCAUGCACCGAAGCUGCGGCAGCGACGCUUAUGCGUUGUUGGGUAGGGGAGCGUUCUGUAAGCCUGCGAAGGUGUGCUGUGAGGCAUGCUGGAGGUAUCAGAAGUGCGAAUGCUGACAUAAGUAACGAUAAAGCGGGUGAAAAGCCCGCUCGCCGGAAGACCAAGGGUUCCUGUCCAACGUUAAUCGGGGCAGGGUGAGUCGACCCCUAAGGCGAGGCCGAAAGGCGUAGUCGAUGGGAAACAGGCUAAUAUUCCUGUACUUGGUGUUACUGCGAAGGGGGGACGGAGAAGGCUAUGUUGGCCGGGCGACGGUUGUCCCGGUUUAAGCGUGUAGGCUGGUUUUCCAGGCAAAUCCGGAAAAUCAAGGCUGAGGCGUGAUGACGAGGCACUACGGUGCUGAAGCAACAAAUGCCCUGCUUCCAGGAAAAGCCUCUAAGCAUCAGGUAACAUCAAAUCGUACCCCAAACCGACACAGGUGGUCAGGUAGAGAAUACCAAGGCGCUUGAGAGAACUCGGGUGAAGGAACUAGGCAAAAUGGUGCCGUAACUUCGGGAGAAGGCACGCUGAUAUGUAGGUGAAGUCCCUCGCGGAUGGAGCUGAAAUCAGUCGAAGAUACCAGCUGGCUGCAACUGUUUAUUAAAAACACAGCACUGUGCAAACACGAAAGUGGACGUAUACGGUGUGACGCCUGCCCGGUGCCGGAAGGUUAAUUGAUGGGGUCAGCGCAAGCGAAGCUCUUGAUCGAAGCCCCGGUAAACGGCGGCCGUAACUAUAACGGUCCUAAGGUAGCGAAAUUCCUUGUCGGGUAAGUUCCGACCUGCACGAAUGGCGUAAUGAUGGCCAGGCUGUCUCCACCCGAGACUCAGUGAAAUUGAACUCGCUGUGAAGAUGCAGUGUACCCGCGGCAAGACGGAAAGACCCCGUGAACCUUUACUAUAGCUUGACACUGAACAUUGAGCCUUGAUGUGUAGGAUAGGUGGGAGGCUUAGAAGUGUGGACGCCAGUCUGCAUGGAGCCGACCUUGAAAUACCACCCUUUAAUGUUUGAUGUUCUAACGUUGACCCGUAAUCCGGGUUGCGGACAGUGUCUGGUGGGUAGUUUGACUGGGGCGGUCUCCUCCUAAAGAGUAACGGAGGAGCACGAAGGUUGGCUAAUCCUGGUCGGACAUCAGGAGGUUAGUGCAAUGGCAUAAGCCAGCUUGACUGCGAGCGUGACGGCGCGAGCAGGUGCGAAAGCAGGUCAUAGUGAUCCGGUGGUUCUGAAUGGAAGGGCCAUCGCUCAACGGAUAAAAGGUACUCCGGGGAUAACAGGCUGAUACCGCCCAAGAGUUCAUAUCGACGGCGGUGUUUGGCACCUCGAUGUCGGCUCAUCACAUCCUGGGGCUGAAGUAGGUCCCAAGGGUAUGGCUGUUCGCCAUUUAAAGUGGUACGCGAGCUGGGUUUAGAACGUCGUGAGACAGUUCGGUCCCUAUCUGCCGUGGGCGCUGGAGAAUUGAGGGGGGCUGCUCCUAGUACGAGAGGACCGGAGUGGACGCAUCACUGGUGUUCGGGUUGUCAUGCCAAUGGCACUGCCCGGUAGCUAAAUGCGGAAGAGAUAAGUGCUGAAAGCAUCUAAGCACGAAACUUGCCCCGAGAUGAGUUCUCCCUGACUCCUUGAGAGUCCUGAAGGAACGUUGAAGACGACGACGUUGAUAGGCCGGGUGUGUAAGCGCAGCGAUGCGUUGAGCUAACCGGUACUAAUGAACCGUGAGGCUUAACCUU
This 2906-nucleotide ribosomal RNA is filed under the name Shigella boydii. RNAcentral's name for it is "23S ribosomal RNA". It matches the Rfam family "Bacterial large subunit ribosomal RNA". Lineage: Bacteria; Pseudomonadati; Pseudomonadota; Gammaproteobacteria; Enterobacterales; Enterobacteriaceae. The record is from RNAcentral.